RNAcentral lists this ribosomal RNA (898 nucleotides) under uncultured bacterium. RNAcentral's name for it is "bacterial SSU rRNA". It matches the Rfam family "Bacterial small subunit ribosomal RNA", at positions 13 to 893 of the family's 1533-position model. The record is from RNAcentral.
UGGAUCCUGGCUCAGGACGAACGCUGGCGGCGUGCCUAAUACAUGCAAGUAGAACGCUGAAGAGAGGAGCUUGCUCUUCUUGGAUGAGUUGCGAACGGGUGAGUAACGCGUAGGUAACCUGCCUUGUAGCGGGGGAUAACUAUUGGAAACGAUAGCUAAUACCGCAUAACAAUGAAUGACACAUGUCAUUUAUUUGAAAGGGGCAAUUGCUCCACUACAAGAUAGACCUGCGUUGUAUUAGCUAGUAGGUGAGGUAACGGCUCACCUAGGCGACGAUACAUAGCCGACCUGAGAGGGUGAUCGGCCACACUGGGACUGAGACACGGCCCAGACUCCUACGGGAGGCAGCAGUAGGGAAUCUUCGGCAAUGGGGGCAACCCUGACCGAGCAACGCCGCGUGAGUGAAGAAGGUUUUCGGAUCGUAAAGCUCUGUUGUAAGUCAAGAACGAGUGUGAGAGUGGAAAGUUCACACUGUGACGGUAGCUUACCAGAAAGGGACGGCUAACUACGUGCCAGCAGCCGCGGUAAUACGUAGGUCCCGAGCGUUGUCCGGAUUUAUUGGGCGUAAAGCGAGCGCAGGCGGUUUGAUAAGUCUGAAGUUAAAGGCUGUGGCUCAACCAUAGUUCGCCUUGGAAACUGUCAAACUUGAGUGCAGAAGGGGAGAGUGGAAUUCCAUGUGUAGCGGUGAAAUGCGUAGAUAUAUGGAGGAACACCGGUGGCGAAAGCGGCUCUCUGGUCUGUAACUGACGCUGAGGCUCGAAAGCGUGGGGAGCGAACAGGAUUAGAUACCCUGGUAGUCCACGCCGUAAACGAUGAGUGCUAGGUGUUGGAUCCUUUCCGGGAUUCAGUGCCGCAGCUAACGCAUUAAGCACUCCGCCUGGGGAGUACGACUGCAAGG